GAUGAACGCUAGCGGCAGGCCUAACACAUGCAAGACGAGGGGCAGCACAGAAACAGCAAUGUUUUGGUGGCGACCGGCGGACGGGUGCGUAACGCGUAUGCAACCUACCUUUAACAGGGGGAUAACGGAGAGAAAUUUCCACUAAUACCCCAUAACAUCGAUCAAGGCAUCUUGAUUGGUUGAAAACUCCGGUGGUUAAAGAUGGGCAUGCGUUGUAUUAGGUAGUUGGUGAGGUAAUGGCUCACCAAGCCUACGAUACAUAGGGGGACUGAGAGGUUAGCCCCCCACACUGGUACUGGGACACGGACCAGACUCCUACGGGAGGCAGCAGUGAGGAAUAUUGGUCAAUGGGGGCAACCCUGAACCAGCCAUGCCGCGUGCAGGAAGACGGCUCUAUGAGUUGUAAGCUGCUUUUAAACAGGGAUAAAGCACAGUAUGUAUACUGUGUUGAAGGUACUGUAAGAAUAGGGAUCGGCUAACUCCGUGCCAGCCGCCGCGGUAA
This 502-nucleotide ribosomal RNA is filed under the name uncultured bacterium. RNAcentral's name for it is "partial 16S ribosomal RNA". It matches the Rfam family "Bacterial small subunit ribosomal RNA", at positions 28 to 523 of the family's 1533-position model. The record is from RNAcentral.